AGUGGCGGACGGGUGAGUAACGCGUGGGCAACCUGCCUUAUACAGGGGGAUAACAGUUGGAAACGACUGCUAAUACCGCAUAAGCGCACAGUACCGCAUGGUGCAGUGUGAAAAGGAGCAAUCCGGUAUAAGAUGGGCCCGCGUCUGAUUAGCUGGUUGGCAGGGUAACGGCCUACCAAGGCGACGAUCAGUAGCCGGCUUGAGAGAGUGACCGGCCACAUUGGGACUGAGACACGGCCCAAACUCCUACGGGAGGCAGCAGUGGGGGAUAUUGCACAAUGGGGGAAACCCUGAUGCAGCGACGCCGCGUGAGUGAAGAAGUACUUCGGUAUGUAAAGCUCUAUCAGCAGGGACGAAGAAUGACGGUACCUGACUAAGAAGCCCCGGCUAACUACGUGCCAGCAGCCGCGGUAAUACGUAGGGGGCAAGCGUUAUCCGGAUUUACUGGGUGUAAAGGGAGCGUAGACGGUGACGUAAGUCAGAUGUGAAAGCCCAGGGCUCAACUCUGGGACUGCAUUUGAAACUAUGUUGCUAGAGUGCAGGAGAGGUAAGUGGAAUU
This 559-nucleotide ribosomal RNA is filed under the name uncultured Clostridium sp. Its description in RNAcentral is "bacterial SSU rRNA". It matches the Rfam family "Bacterial small subunit ribosomal RNA", at positions 94 to 668 of the family's 1533-position model. The record is from RNAcentral. Lineage: Bacteria; Bacillati; Bacillota; Clostridia; Eubacteriales; Clostridiaceae.